GAUGAACGCUGGCGGCGUGCCUAAUACAUGCAAGUCGAGCGAACAGACGAGGAGCUUGCUCCUCUGACGUUAGCGGCGGACGGGUGAGUAACACGUGGAUAACCUACCUAUAAGACUGGGAUAACUUCGGGAAACCGGAGCUAAUACCGGAUAAUAUAUUGAACCGCAUGGUUCAAUAGUGAAUGACGGUUUUGCUGUCACUUAUAGACGGAUCCGCGCCGGAUUAGCUAGUUGGUAAGGUAACGGCUUACCAAGGCGACGAUGCGUAGCCGACCUGAGAGGGUGAGCGGCCACACUGGAACUGAGACACGGUCCAGACUCCUACGGGAGGCAGCAGUAGGGAAUCUUCCGCAAUGGGCGAAAGCCUGACGGAGCAACGCCGCGUGAGUGAUGAAGGUCUUCGGAUCGUAAAACUCUGUUAUUAGGGAAGAACAACUGUGUAAGUAACUACGCACGUCUUGACGGUACCUAAUCAGAAAGCCACGGCUAACUACGUG
This 497-nucleotide ribosomal RNA is filed under the name uncultured bacterium. RNAcentral's name for it is "partial 16S ribosomal RNA". It matches the Rfam family "Bacterial small subunit ribosomal RNA", at positions 28 to 507 of the family's 1533-position model. The record is from RNAcentral.